AGCGAGCUCAAGCAGCUGGCGAGAGUGAUGUUAUUUCCCUUGAUUAGGAUUUGUUACAAUAUUUCUAUCUUUAUAAGGAAAUGACAAGCCAUUUGCCUUGUUUCAAAUAAAAUAUGACAGUCGCAGCCAAGUUGAAAAGGGCAACAAUAUCUAACUCAAGCUUAUAAACAGUACAAAAGCCCAAGGAUUAAUUGUUCAUCAGGUUUAGACAAAAUCCAGACUGAACACGCAUGGCAAUAACAUCUAACCCAACCACUAUUUUUGGCAGUCACAAAUAAAUGGGUCGGUCUGAUCCAUAAAAUCAACAUCCUAUGCCAAAAAGUUUACUCGCAUAUAACGACAAGUUGUUGUAAAUAGAAGCCGAGCACGUUCAUAAGCCCAUUUGUCGACCCGAAUCUUCUUUUUUUGCUGUCCAACAUAUCCAUCUGUGAGAAAUUUCUUGUUGAAAAACUUAAGCCCCAUGAACAAUAGUAACCUCGCAUUAAAUAGGAAGAAUGUGACGAAGUCUCUGUUUGCCUGAUUGGAUGCAUAACCUUCCAUCGUUAUUGUCCUCAAACGAAUGUCAUGAGAACUGAGAAAAUCCCGAUGUUUAUUACACCACCAAUUGGUUAUGAUUUUCUCCAUGUGUUGCUGCCUACGUAGACAUGAAGAUUCAAAAUAGUUAAUGUCUAAAAAAAGAGUAUGUCAAUAGAGCGACAGCCGAACGGUAAUUCUAGUACAAUAUAUAUGAGCUUUCAAUGUGCAUGAAAGAAUCACCUCUAUAUAAAAACUAGUUGACCCGUUCCGCCAAAUGGCGCAGAGAC
RNAcentral lists this long non-coding RNA (803 nucleotides) under Triticum aestivum (bread wheat). RNAcentral's name for it is "long non-coding RNA (TAES_LNC001488)". Lineage: Eukaryota; Viridiplantae; Streptophyta; Magnoliopsida; Poales; Poaceae. The record is from RNAcentral.